CCAAGUAAAAACUUGGUAUUGAUAUUUAUUAGUCUUAGGGUCCUUUCUCUUGUUAGGGUUCUUAGAUUAAUGAAUAUUGUGUGUCAAGUUUCUAUCUCUUUCUUUGUAAAUCUUGUUAACAUUAUGUUGAUGAAUAUAAAAGUCUAGUGAAGCCGUGUGAGGCUCUUUCGAUUCACUAGCAAUAUUGUCUUUGUUGUUAUUGUUGUUAAACUCACUUUUCUAGUUCAAACAAGUGUUGCGAGCCUGGUGAAGCCGUGUGUGGCCAGUUUCGAUUCACUAGCACUUUGUUGUUCAUCUUGUUGUUCUUGUGUUUGUUGGAAUCUCUUGAUACACACUUAGCNNNNNNNNNNNNNNNNNNNNNNNNNNNNNNNNNNNNNNNNNNNNNNNNNNNNNNNNNNNNNNNNNNNNAAAAAAAAAACCUUGGAAGUGACCAUUGUGGUGUAUUGUUGUUGUGUUCUUGAAGGUGUUGAUGUUGUGUUCAUCCUAAACUUCUCCUCAUCUUAUGUCUUAACUUCUAUAAAGAUAAAUAGGUCCAAAAAGGUUGUAAGACAAAAUUGAAAAUUGUUUGUUAGAAGACUUGCCAACAUCACCUUUUCAAGACUUGACAACCACUUUUCCUUAAAACAAGGAACCUUGUCUUGUGGGACUAGUGAGGUCAAACAUCACCUUUUGAGUUUGAAAAAAAAAAGAAAAAAAAAGGGGGUUUGAAAAAUGUUACAACACUUUAUGUUUUCCAUCCCAAUAACAAGUCAUCCAUUACAAAAGAUCUAAGGGGACUAAGACUUCAAGUUGAUGAACUAUUUAUGUGGACCCACAGCCAUUGACAUGCUGCCAUGUCACCCUAGUUACUAUUCACAUGAUAAUUAAGCUCAAAUUUGGAUGUUCUAGUUUCUAAUUAUUGAUUCCUAGUUUCCUCUAAUUGACUUGAGAACUAAUUAACAAACUAGUACAUUCCUACUAGCUUGUCAAUUAGUCACUUGAAGCCUUGUGUUCAUGUCAACGUUUGAUUGUGUGCUUUUAUCGUUUGAAUACGUUGUAAAUCUUGGAUAUAGUCCGACGAGAAUUCUUUUAGUUUCAAACAAGAAUCUAUUUUGGGCAAGAGCAUACUCAUACCUUACGGAUUCACGGGUUCCUAGCCAAUCUACAACACUUGUGGAACUUGAGUGUGAGUGAACCAAGAGAGUGUGAGUGAGGAGAGGGAUUUUAAACUAACUUGUUUGUUGCUUGAGUAGGUGAUACCUUGAUAAUGGAGGGAACCAUAUCUCAAACCGUGGAUUCUAAUGAAAUGGAGAAUAUGAGGGUCACUCUUGAGGCUAUGACCCGAGCUCUUGAAAGGUUGAGUAUGGAAAUGAGAGCCAUAAGGGGAGAAGUGACAGCUAUUAGUGGGAGGUUAGAACAAGUGGAGAGUCAAAGGAACUCUCCUCCUUCUACUCCUCGACAUGUUUCAUCAAGUGGACAUGAUAGAAAUUCCUUCGCCACCGUUACUCCCGAAAUAUGGCUACAAUUGCCAAAUCCUUCACUAGCCCCACUAAAUGCCGUAAGCCAAACCACUUAUAACCCUCUAAAAUGAGACUCCAAUAGACCAAACCAUUCCCAAAUGUCUCAAGUUCCGCAAGAGGUACUCAGACGUCAAAUGCCUCUACAAAAUCCGAACCCCCCUUCCAAGCUCCACUAAACCAAAGACCACCACCUCCAUAAAAUCCAAUUCCUCCAAAUCAAGUUCCAAAUGUCCAAAAUCAUCCCGUCCACCUUGAGGAAUAUGGUAGAGAGGAUUAUGAAGGGUAUGGAUCCUUUGACGAUGCCUAUAUAAGGGAGGAAGAGAUGAGAGGGGGUCGUGUGGAUCCAAGGAGAUACCUAGGGUAUGGAGAAAGGGGAAACCAACACCUAGAGAGAGACGUAGGCAUCAAUACCAUCAAAUUGAGCCUACCUAUCUUUAAGGGUGAAAGUGACCCCAAGGUGUAUCUUGCUUGGGAGUCGGCGUAUGAUAAAGUGUUUCAAGUGAAUGAUAUCUUGGAGGAGAAGAAGAUUUGUUAUGCCAUGGCUCAUUUUGAAGGCUAUGCUAACACUUGGUGGGAAUACGUCAAGCGAUUCAGAAACGAGUUGGUAGAGGGACAACCACCACCAUGGUUUUAGUUGAGAUACCUAAUGAGGCAACGGUAUCUUCCUGAAAGUUAUCAUCAUGAUUUUCUUGCUAGGUUGUACAAAUUGCAACAAGGGAAUCGAAGUGUUAUGGCAUACUAUGAUGAGUUUCAACAACUCAUGUUGAAGCUUGAUCAUAGGGGAGAACAAAUUGGCCAUGACAUAAUUUGCUUUAAGUAUGGGUUGAACAAAGCGAUCUCCACUCAUUUAAUGCUUCACAAGUUUGAUGCCGUUGAAGGGAUUUUCCAAGCAGCUCUUGAGAUUGAAAUGGAGCUUAAAGAGAGGUCGUCGUUCAAGGCAAAGGGACCAUCAACCUCGAGUUGGAUAAGGAGCAAAGAUAUGGUUCAACCAUCUUUGGGUUGGCCCAAAAACAAGGACUAACCCACUACUACAAGGCUGUCCGAGCCUAAAACAGUCCAUAAAUUUCCUCCCCGAGAAGAAGGUCACAAGUAUCCUAAUCCUAAGGGGUUCCAAUAUUUCAAGUGCCAAGGUUGGGGACAUAAAGCCAAUGAAUAUCCAAACCGGCGCAAUGUGAUCCUAAGGUAAGGGAGAUUGUAUUACCUUGGUGAGGAAGUGGGUCUUGAAAAGGAAGAGAAUGAGGCCGAGCCUCAAGAUUGAGAGAAACCCAAAAAUGAGACACAUGAUGAUGAUGAUUGUGAGGAUGAUUAUCCGCAAGAAGGGGAGUGCAUGGUUCCAAACUUUGUAGUGAGGAGUGCUAUGAUUAGUAAAGCGAUAGAUAACCCUAGCCAAUGGGAGAAUUUAUUCCAUACUAAAUGUCUUGUGAAGGAAAGUGUGUGUACUAUGGUGAUAGAUAGUGGAAGUUGUGCGAAUGUGGUUAGAUUUGCAAUGGUUAACUUCGUGAAGUUGCCGACUACACCUCACACUAGUCCUUACAAGUUGCAAUGGUUGAAUGAAUGCGGCGAUCUAAAGGUCACAAGGCAAUGUAUGAUACGUUUUAAGGUAGCCAACUACCAUGACGAGGUGCUUUGUGAUGUGAUACCAAUGCAAGCUUGUCACUUGUUGUUAGGAAGGCCUUGGCAAUACGAUAGGUCGACCAAAUAUGGUGGAAGGUCCAAUCGGUAAACACUUGAGAAGGAUGGCUAAAAGGUCGCUCUUCAUCCAUUAUUGCCUUCCCAAGUGAAUGAAUUAUACCAAAAGAUAUGAGAAUUGGGGGAAAGGGGAAAGAAGGCCGAGAGUAAGGGAAAAAGAGGGGAACCCAAGAGUGAGGGAGUAGGGGAAACUGAGGGGCUCCUAAUUUCUAAGGGGCAAGGAAGUGUGGUGAUGAUGGCUAGGAGGAAAGAAUUAUUUAUGGAUCAUGACAAGGACAUUCCGAUGCUCCUCUUGGCUCAUUGUUUUAACACUAACGCCCCUAACAUUUCCAUUUAUCCUCCUAUUUCUCAUAUUUUGCAGGAUUACGAGGAUGUCUUCCUAUAGGAAUUACCGAAAGGAUUGCCCCUACUUUGGGGAAUUGAGCACCAAUAGAUUUUGUGCUGAGUUCACAAUUGCCCAAGAAACCGGCUUAUAGGAGCAACCUGAUGGAUACCAAGGAAUUGCAACGCCAAGUUGAGGAACUUCUCAACAAAGGAUAUAUCAAGGAGAGUAUGAGACCUUGUGUGGUUCUGUUACUACUAGUUCCUAAGAAAGAUGGGACUUGGCGUAUGUGCGUUGAUUGCCGAGCCAUCAAUAAGAUAACGGUAAAAUAUCGUCACCCUAUUCCUAGACUAGAUGAUAUGCUUAAUGAAUUGAGUGGUUCGUGUUUGUUUUCUAAAAUUGAUUUGAGGAGUGGCUAUCACCAAAUUCGUAUGCAACUGGAUGAUGAAUGGAAAACUACCUUCAAGACCAAAUUCAGUCUCUAUGAAUGGAUGGUUAUGCAUUCAACCUAACAAACGCUCCAAGUACUUUCAUGAGGCUAAUAAAUCAUGUGAUGAAGUCAUUUAUCAGAAAGUUUAUUGUUGUUUAUUUUGAUGAUGUAUUGGUGUAUAGUAAGUCCUUAGAUGAGCAUAUAAAGCAUUUACAAUGUGUGUUUGAUGUCCUCCGAAAGGAGAAGUUAUAUGAUAAUCUAGAAAAGUGUUCUUUUGGUGUCCAUGAGGUUGUAUUUCUUGGGUUUAUGGUGAGCUCAAGAGGGUUUGAAGUGGAUGAAUCUAAGAUUAACGCCAUUAAAAAUUGGCCAACUCCCAAAACCGUAGGUGAAGUGAGAAGCUUCCAUGGGUUGGCUAGUUUUUAUAGACGUUUUGUCAAAGGAUUUAACACCAUUUCCGCCCCCUUGACCGAAGUGAUUAAAAAGGAUCGGCCUUUCAAGUAGGGAAAUGAACNNNNNNNNNNNNNNNNNNNNNNNNNNNNNNNNNNNNNNNNNNNNNNNNNNNNNNNNNNNNNNNNNNNNNNNNNNNNNNNNNNNNNNNNNNNNNNNNNNNNNNNNNNNNNNNNNNNNNNNNNNNNNNNNNNNNNNNNNNNNNNNNNNNNNNNNNNNNNNNNNNNNNNNNNNNNNNNNNNNGGCACAAGACAAGCUUAACCGGCGGCAUGCCAAAUGGAUUGAAUUUCUUGAAACUUUCCCUUAUGUUAUUCAAUACAAGAAGGGUAAAGACAAUGUGGUUGCCGAUGCUUUGUCCCGAAAACAUGUGCUUGUGUCUACUUUGUCGUCUAAGUUGAUGGGGUUUGAAAGCCUCAAGUUUUUAUAUCCCGAGGACCCUCACUUCUCUUCUAUCUAUAGGGAAAGUGAAGAGUUGGAAAGGGAUAGGUGGGUUACGGAUAAGGGUUCCCAUCCCUAUACCAAAUUUGAUGGAUACUUGUUUAAAGGUAGACAAUUGUGUGUUCCCUCAAGUUUGUGGAGAGAAUUAUUUGUGAGGGAAGCAGCCAAUAGCAGUCUAAUGGGCCAUUUUGGGGUCGAGAAGACCCUCAGAAUUUUGGAAGAACAAUUUUAUUGGCCUAGAAUGCACAAGGAUGUGUCCCAGAUUUUCGGCCAAUGUGUUGAGUGCAAAGGAUCCAAGUCAUGGCUCCAACCCCAUGGGUUAAAUACCCUAUUGUCCACCCCUUUGCGUCCUUGUCUUGACAUAUCAAUGGACUUCGUAUUGGGAUUGCCGAGGAGUAGAAGGGGGUGGGAUAGUAUUUUUGUCGUGGUGGAUCGGUUUUCCAAGAUGGCUCAUUUUAUUCCUUAUUCUAAAUGUGAUGAUGCGCCUAGCGUAGCCUCUUUGUUUGUUGAUAAUGUUGUAAAACUUCAUCGAUUUCCGAGGACCAUAGUGAGUGAUAGGGAUUCUAAAUUCCUAAGCCACUUUUGGAAGUCCAUGUGGGGUAGACUCGGUACUAAGUUAUUGUUUUCGACUUCAUGCCACCCACAAACCGAUGUCUAAACGAAAGUAGUAAAUAGGACCUUAUGGUCUAUGCUACAGUCCAUGGUUAAAGGAAAAAUGACCUCUUGGGAGGAGCACUUACCGUUGAUUGAGUUUGCUUCUAAUCGUGUUAUACACUCGAGCAUGGGGAUGGCACCCUUUAAGUGUGUAUAUGGCAUCAACCCCCUCACCCCUUUGGAUUUAACCCCUUUGCCAAGUGAUCUUGUGAUAAGCUUAGAUGGAAGAAAACGGGCCGAGGACAUGAAAAAGCUACAUGAGAAGGUGAGGUUGCGGUUGGAGAAGAAAAACCAAGAAUUUGCGAGGCGAGCCAACAAAGGAAGAAGAAAGCUCAUUCUUGAACUAGGAGAUUGGGUGUGGGUGAACCUAAGGAAGGAUAUAUUCCCGUCUCAAAGGAAUGCUAAGUUGAUGCCACGGGGUGAUGACCCGUUCCAAGUAUUAGAAAGGAUCAACGACAAUGCGUACAAGAUUGAUCUACCCCCGGAAUAUCAAGUGCACAACACUUUCAAUGUGUGUGAUCUGGGUGGAAACGGUGGAGUAUGGCAAUGAUCCGAAUUUGAGGACAAAUUCCCUUCAAGAUGGAGAGGAUGAUACGGGAAUUCCUAGCUCAAGACCUUUCACACGAAGCCAAGCACGUGAGUUGCAACGACUCCAAGCCUUGUUCAAAUUCUUGGCCACGUGUGAGGCCCUUGUGAGCCCAUCUAAGGGCCUAUAUUUAAUAAAAUGUAAGGAGGCCCACCAAGACACCCCAAACCUACCUACUUAAAUGCCAAGGGUAAUUUGGUCUUUGUCCCUCCUUUCUAAGUGACUAUAUAAGCCAUGUAAUAGGGCUAGUCUUGCUUUAGUUCAUUCCUAUUAUUCAAGAAACAAAGACUUGUAAAUUUUUGACUUCUCUUUCUCAUCAUUUGGAGAGGCCAAAACCAAAUUCUCACUAGUAGAGUGAUACUAGUGUUGUAUCUUGGCUAGAAACUAGGUUCUUGAGGUUCUUUGAGUUCCUCUUGGUCCAAGUAAGAACUUGGUAUUGAUAUUUAUUAGUCUUAGGGUCCUUUCUCUUGUUAGGGUUCUUAGAUUAAUGAAUAUUGUGUGUCAAGUUUCUAUCUCUUUCUUUGUAAAUCUUGUUAACAUUGUGUUGUUGAAUAUAAAAGUCUAAUGAAGCCGUGUGGGGCUCUUUCGAUUCACUAGCAAUAUUGUCUUUGUUGUUCUUGUUGUUAAACUCACUUUUCUAGUUCAAACAAGUGUUGCAAGCCUAGUGAAGCCGUGUGUGGCCAUUUUCGAUUCA
This 6759-nucleotide long non-coding RNA is filed under the name Capsicum annuum. RNAcentral's name for it is "long non-coding RNA (CANN_LNC007582)". The record is from RNAcentral. Lineage: Eukaryota; Viridiplantae; Streptophyta; Magnoliopsida; Solanales; Solanaceae.